UCCUAGCUUGUUGGUCUCUGAGCUGAAGGAAAGGAAAGAAAAGGGAAAAUCAUGCUAUCCAAAAUAAUACAAUUCUUUCUUAAAAAGAAUAACAAAGUUGUCCCAGAAGGACUGCUGAAGAAAAGGCCCUGCAUUCUCCUCAUCCUCCAGAAGAGCAACAGAAUCCAACCUAUGCAGACUCUUGGAAAUUCCUCCAAGAAGUACCUUCUGGGUUUUGCCUGAAGGCUGGGAUGCUUCUGACCUCAGUACAGAGAAAGUCCAAGAGGGGCAGGAUCUCCUCCAAACUGAGACAUCAUCGCUAUUAGAAAUGGGACAUCAUUGCUGUGGCAUCAUCGCUAUUGAAAAUGGUGGUAAAAAGCCUAGAAGAUGAUAGAAUGCAGGAGAGACCAAGGUUAUAAUGGGGAGGAGUUGUUAAAAAGGAGCAGAAAUCUCUAAUAUAUGAUUCUAAUCUUCAAGAGAAAUGAAUCUUUUGUCACCUGAAUAAGUAUUUCAACCAUCUAAGCAGGUCUCAUUUUUCUGGAUCCUGCAAUGGGUGGACCAUAAAUUUCACCCUCUUUCUGCUUGAUGUAUUGUGAGGUGGGGGUUGUGAUGCCCAUAAGUUUACUGUCUUAAUUUCAGAUUCCCAGGCUUCCAAUUCUGUUUUGAGGAUGCAAGGGAAAAUAUGGCACUGCUUAAGAUAAGCAACCAUUUCCCCUUCCUUCUUACUUUUCCCAAAGAAAAUCAAACUGUUGGCUCAGCCAUCAAGCACUGAGAUGCAAGAAUGUACAUCCCAGUUCACAAAACUUUUUAGAGAGGGGCUUAAUUCCUCCCCACUUUUAGGUUCCCUUAAUUUUUAAAAAAAAUUUCUGAGAAGCAAAAUUCCCCUCAUUGAUUCUGAUACAUCCUGAGAGCACUAGUCUCUUUUCCUCUACCACAUGAAUAAAAAAAAAAAGGAGAAAAAAGAGAGAAGUUUAAAAAAGUGUUUUCCCUGGACACAAAGUUGCCUACCCUUCCAUGGGGCAAAAUUGGCUAUGUCUACAGGCGUCAAAGCAGGUUCUUUACGAACUGAAAUACUAAUACACACCCAUAAAACCAUACCCUAAAUAAGGGAAGGUGGCAUAGAAACUAUGAGGAUAGCAGGAUUUCCACUGUCAUAGGGAAAUUAAUGAUGGAAUCUACUUUCUCUUCCAUCAGAUCAUACAGUACUGGAGGAUCUAAAAAAUCUGGAGCUGUUGACCUCUGGAGAAGAAAUGGCAAAGUGAAGAUGGCUCCACUAAAAGUAGAGCUGAUGACCAUAGUAGAAUGAAGAGCUGGCAAGUAGAGCAGCUUUGUCAUUCCUCUCUGGACAAGGAAAAGACUUGAGAUCGCCACAGUGCUUCAUACAGUUGCUCCUUGCAAGAAGACCACAAGUCAGCAGUCUUCAGUGGGUUUAGAAUUCUCAGUCACAAGGGAAUAACUUAUCUUUUUACUCAAAUUGUAGUAGGUGCCUUCAAAAGGACACUGGGUUUACAUAUUUUCUUUUGUAAUCAAUUUUAGCAUUUUGUAAUCAAUAUUAUUCUAUUCUAUAUUAUAUUGAAGAUUAAAUAUUUAAGAGCGUUUGAACAAAA
Molecule: long non-coding RNA, 1586 nt
Organism: Pantherophis guttatus
Lineage: Eukaryota; Metazoa; Chordata; Lepidosauria; Squamata; Colubridae
Source: RefSeq, a predicted model, not a curated record